This 913-nucleotide ribosomal RNA is filed under the name uncultured Verrucomicrobiota bacterium. RNAcentral's name for it is "bacterial SSU rRNA". It matches the Rfam family "Bacterial small subunit ribosomal RNA", at positions 8 to 893 of the family's 1533-position model. Lineage: Bacteria; Pseudomonadati; Verrucomicrobiota. The record is from RNAcentral.
AGGGUUUGAUCCUGGCUCAGAACGAACGCUGGCGGCGUGGAUAAGACAUGCAAGUCGAGCGCGAAUUCUGGUGUAGCAAUACAUCAGAGUUUGAGCGGCGCAAGGGUGCGUAACACGUGGGUAAUUUGCCGUGAAGUUGGGGAUAACUCGCUGAAAGGCGAGCUAAUACCGGAUGUGGUUAUUGGGUGGCAUCACCUGAUCACUAAAGCUGGGGAUCGUAAGACCUGGCGCUUCAUGAUAAGCCCGCGGCCUAUCAGCUAGUUGGUGCGGUAACGGCGCACCAAGGCUAAGACGGGUAGCUGGUCUGAGAGGACGACCAGCCACACUGGAACUGAGACACGGUCCAGACACCUACGGGUGGCAGCAGUCGAGAAUUUUUCUCAAUGGGCGCAAGCCUGAAGGAGCGACGCCGCGUGUGGGAUGAAGGGUUUCGAUCCGUAAACCACUGUCAUUUGUGAACAAUGGUUAUUAUUUAAAAGAUGAUAACUUGAUAGUAAUGAAAGAGGAAGGGACGGCUAACUCUGUGCCAGCAGCCGCGGUAAUACAGAGGUCCCGAGCGUUGUUCGGAUUCACUGGGCGUAAAGGGUGCGUAGGUGGCAUGUUAAGUUUGAUGUGAAAGCUCAGGGCUCAACCCUGAAAUGGCAUUGAAUACUAGCGUGCUGGAGGUUUGGAGGGGGGACUGGAAUUCUCGGUGUAGCAGUGAAAUGCGUAGAUAUCGAGAGGAACACCAGUGGCGAAGGCGAGUCCCUGGACAACACCUGACACUGAGGCACGAAAGCUAGGGGAGCAAACAGGAUUAGAUACCCUGGUAGUCCUAGCCCUAAACGGUGCGCAUUUGCUGUAAGAGGAAUCGACCCCUUUUGUGGCGAAGCUAACGCGAUAAAUGCGCCGCCUGGGGAGUACGGUCGCAAGA